This 373-nucleotide unclassified non-coding RNA is filed under the name soil metagenome. RNAcentral's name for it is "partial contains 5.8S ribosomal RNA, internal transcribed spacer 2, and large subunit ribosomal RNA". The stretch from base 1 to 121 matches the Rfam family "5.8S ribosomal RNA", at positions 35 to 154 of the family's 154-position model. The record is from RNAcentral.
GAUGAAGAACGUAGCGAAAUGCGAUAAGUAAUGCGAAUUGCAGAAUUUCCGUGAGUCAUCGAAUCUUUGAACGCACAUUGCGCCCUUUGGUAUUCCGAAGGGCAUGCCUGUUCGAGCGUCAUUAUCACCCCUCAAGCCCUCGGCUUGGUGUUGGACGGUUUGGUGGAGGCCCCCUCGGGGGCUCCUGCCCCUCCCAAAGACAAUGACGGCGGCCUCGUUGGACCCCCGGUACACUGAGUUCUUCACGGGACACGUAUCGGACACAUGGGUUUACGGGACACGGUCUGCCUCCCCUCAGGGAGAAUCUUUCUAAGGUUGACCUCGGAUCAGGUAGGGAUACCCGCUGAACUUAAGCAUAUCAAUAAGCGGAGGA